Molecule: ribosomal RNA, 471 nt
Filed under: uncultured organism
Description: partial 16S ribosomal RNA
Rfam family: Bacterial small subunit ribosomal RNA
Source: RNAcentral
ACUCCUGCGGGAGGCAGCAGUGGGGAAUUUUGGACAAUGGGCGAAAGCCUGAUCCAGCAAUGCCGCGUGAGUGAAGAAGGCCUUCGGGUUGUAAAGCUCUUUUGUCAGGGAAGAAACGGUGAGAGCUAAUAUCUCUUGCUAAUGACGGUACCUGAAGAAUAAGCACCGGCUAACUACGUGCCAGCAGCCUCGGUAAUACGUAGGGUGCAAGCGUUAAUCGGAAUUACUGGGCGUAAAGCGUGCGCAGGCGGUUUUGUAAGUCUGAUGUGAAAUCCCCGGGCUCAACCUGGGAAUUGCAUUGGAGACUGCAAGGCUAGAAUCUGGCAGAGGGGGGUAGAAUUCCACGUGUAGCAGUGAAAUGCGUAGAUAUGUGGAGGAACACCGAUGGCGAAGGCAGCCCCCUGGGUCAAGAUUGACGCUCAUGCACGAAAGCGUGGGGAGCAAACAGGAUUAGAUACCCCAGUAGUCCCA